UUUUCUUCACACCAUAAGCCUUUCUUUCUCUCUCUAACUUCUCUCUAGCCUCCCUAAACCCCUCCCAAGUCUACGGAACCUCCCUAGCACGAGAAGAAAGCCCCGGAGCGCCCGACGGCUCCGAGAAGAAAAGUUUUCGGCUUGGAAACGCUGCUCCAGCGAAGCCCGGUUUUUAAUAAAAACUCGCUGUUUUGUCGAGGAAAAUUGUUUUGAGAUAACGAAGUGAUGUCUGAGUUUGGAAUCACCACCUAAUCAGGUGUUGAUAUGAAGUGACAUUACACUGAGAGAUUUAAAGAGAUGUAGAUCACUGGUGUAAAUAAUUGUAAGUUCUGUUUAUGCUUAUGUUUCUGUAUUAACGAUGACAUCCCAAACGUUUUAAAAUGAAAUAAAUACGUUUCUUCGAAAAUGUUUUAAUAACGUAUUUACCAUGUUUUUCUGGGAACAAAUUCCGCAACAUUUUUAUAAAAUGAAGUACUCUGAUUUUUAUAAAGCAUAAACAACAUCGGUCUUUUUUGGCCGUGAAAAUGUGGAUGUCACAAUUUCAUCCAAAGAUCACAUCAAGUUACAUACUAGUGGUAAGAUCUUGCAAACAUAUUUCCUUUCUACACUCAUUCGCUCUUCUUACCACCUUAAAUUCUUGAUCAUACUCCUAGAAACAUACUAAGUUCGAGAUCCACCCAAAAAAGCUUGUUAGGGCCGAAAAUAGCAUCAAACUCUUCCAUUUCUUUCUUCAAACCGAAAACAACAAGAAAAGGUAAGUCCAUACCCCUCUAUUUUCGGUUUUCACAUGUUUUAUAGGGGAGAAUACAAGUAAAAUGUGUAGAUCUAUGUGUAUUUGUAUGUUCUAUGUGAUUUCUUGUGUUUAUGUGAUAAAUAUGUGCCAAAAAUGAAAGAUAUUUCGAUAUCUAUAGUUCAAGAAAGAAAAAUAUAUGAUCUAGGAUGUAUUACACUUAACAAGUUAAGAAAAACUACCAUAUAAGGUUUAUAAUAAGCAUGUUACAACAUAAAAUUCAUUAUUGGACUAUUUUUGUCAAAUAAACAAAAGUUGGGGAAAAAGUUGUCAUUUACGAUUUUUACAAGGCUCAAAAGGUCAAAACAGUUAAAAUAGAAGUUUUUAUGAGCAUUAUGCUUUUCAAAGAUCUAAAACUGUAAAUUGUAGCCGAUUUGGCUAAAAUUUUGGGCUUUUCGGCCCAUAGGCCCAAUUUUGCAAAAAAUAUGGUUUUAAGGGGCCGAAAUGAUAAAUUUCUCAAAACAACGGGUAAAAAGUAAAUAAAUCUAUUUCAGGGGUUAAAAUGACCUUAAUUGCCAAAAAGGAUUAAAAAUGUAAAGUUUUUGGGUUUUGGGUCAAAGUUGUAAAAGUUGCGAAAAGUUUGGAUUAUAAAUGAAAAUCUUUUU
Non-coding RNA from Lactuca sativa (garden lettuce), 1395 nucleotides. Lineage: Eukaryota; Viridiplantae; Streptophyta; Magnoliopsida; Asterales; Asteraceae. The record is from RefSeq and is a predicted model, not a curated record.